AGCGGCGGACGGGUGAGUAACGCGUGGGUAACCUGCCCUAUACACAUGGAUAACAUACUGAAAAGUUUACUAAUACAUGAUAAUAUAUAUUUACGGCAUCGUAGAUAUAUCAAAGUGUUAGCGGUAUAGGAUGGACCCGCGUCUGAUUAGCUAGUUGGUGAGAUAACUGCCCACCAAGGCGACGAUCAGUAGCCGACCUGAGAGGGUGAUCGGCCACAUUGGAACUGAGACACGGUCCAAACUCCUACGGGAGGCAGCAGUGGGGAAUAUUGCACAAUGGGCGCAAGCCUGAUGCAGCAACGCCGCGUGAACGAUGAAGGUCUUCGGAUCGUAAAGUUCUGUUGCAGGGGAAGAUAAUGACGGUACCCUGUGAGGAAGCCCCGGCUAACUACGUGCCAGCAGCCGCGGUAAUACGUAGGGGGCUAGCGUUAUCCGGAUUUACUGGGCGUAAAGGGUGCGUAGGUGGUCUUUCAAGUCGGUGGUUAAAGGCUACGGCUCAACCGUAGUUAGCCUCCGAAACUGGAAGACUUGAGUGCAGGAGAGGAAAGUGGAAUUCCCAGUGUAGCGGUGAAAUGCGUAGAUAUUGGGAGGAACACCAGUAGCGAAGGCGGCUUUCUGGACUGCAACUGACACUGAGGCACGAAAGCGUGGGUAGCAAACAGGAUUAGAUACCCUGGUAGUCCACGCUGUAAACGAUGAGUACUAGGUGUCGGGGGUUACCCCCCUCGGUGCCGCAGCUACGCAUUAAGUACUCCCC
Molecule: ribosomal RNA, 757 nt
Filed under: uncultured Clostridia bacterium
Lineage: Bacteria; Bacillati; Bacillota; Clostridia
Description: bacterial SSU rRNA
Rfam family: Bacterial small subunit ribosomal RNA
Source: RNAcentral